CAUUCUGACAUGUUUCUCCCUCUUAUGGCCUAACCCUACUUGCACUAAAGUUAGGGGGAACUUUCCCAGUAUUUCAUAAGAGUGUUAACCAGAGACAAAAGCAGCAACUUUAUUUAAGGCAGAAAGGCAGCAGUAAGACAACCUAAUAUUUGUUCAAGUGAGAUUUUAAACCAUUACAAAACAAUUUACACACUCAUUCCUCCCUCUCCAUAAGUCACUAUUCUCAUCACAUAAAAAGAUGGGAAGCCAAAGGAUUUAGAAGAUUUCUUGAAAAAAAGUACAGACCAAAAUAUUUCUGUUUGGAAGAGAACACAGUGAAGGGAAGAUAAGGCAGAUGCACAUGAUCGUGUGCAUGGAAACGAUGUGACAAGGUUUCAAGGGACCUCCCAAAGGAGCUUGGGCAACCACUUACGAUGAGGACAUUGCUACUCAUCUCCUGGCCAGUCAACAUGACAAGGAUGAUCUGGUGCCUGUAAGGAUCUACAGCAAUUUGGGCAUCUUCAGCUCUUGCUCAUGAUGUGGGUGACCUGGCUCUCAAGUUCCCCCAUCUAAGGGGGUUCACAGCUCUUUCAUCUGCUGGAAAAGUGCUCUAUCCACUACUCUAAAAGCUAUACCAAGGAUACAGCACUGCAGUUUAAGCUGGACAACUCAAUGGAAAAGACUAAGAAGAAAUACUGAAAAAAAGAAUUAAAGAAAA
Molecule: long non-coding RNA, 697 nt
Organism: Columba livia (rock pigeon)
Lineage: Eukaryota; Metazoa; Chordata; Aves; Columbiformes; Columbidae
Exons: 3
Source: RefSeq, a predicted model, not a curated record